CCUACGGGAGGCAGCAGUGAGGAAUAUUGGUCAAUGGACGCAAGUCUGAACCAGCCAUGCCGCGUGCAGGAUGACGGCCCUAUGGGUUGUAAACUGCUUUUGUACGAGGGUAAAAGCCGAUACGUGUAACGGUCUGAAAGUAUCGUAUGAAUAAGGAUCGGCUAACUCCGUGCCCGCAGCCGCGGUAAUACGGAAGAUUCAGGCGUUAUCCGGAUUUAUUGGGUUUAAAGGGUGCGUAGGCGGUAGGAUAAGUUAGAGGUGAAAUCCCGAGGCUCAACUUCGGCAUUGCCGCGGAUACUGUCUGGCUAGAGGGUAGUUGCGGUAGGCGGAAUGUAUGGUGUAGCGGUGAAAUGCUUAGAGAUCAUACAGAACACCGAUUGCGAAGGCAGCUUACCAAGCUACUUCUGACGCUGAGGCACGAAAGCGUGGGUAGCAAACAGGAUUAGAUACCCGAGUAGUC
RNAcentral lists this ribosomal RNA (460 nucleotides) under uncultured bacterium. RNAcentral's name for it is "partial 16S ribosomal RNA". It matches the Rfam family "Bacterial small subunit ribosomal RNA", at positions 338 to 795 of the family's 1533-position model. The record is from RNAcentral.